UACGUAGGGGGCGAGCGUUGUCCGGAUUCAUUGGGCGUAAAGCGCUUUAAGGCGGUUCGCUAAGUCGCGUGUGAAACCUCCAGGCUCAACCUGGAGACGCCACGCGAUACUGGCGUGACUAGAGUUCGGUAGGGGAUCACGGAAUUCCUGGUGUAGCGGUGAAAUGCGCAGAUAUCAGGAGGAACACCAGUGGCGAAGGCGGUGAUCUGGGCCGAUACUGACGCUGUAGAGCGAAAGCGUGGGGAGCGAACAGG
This 254-nucleotide ribosomal RNA is filed under the name uncultured bacterium. RNAcentral describes it as "partial 16S ribosomal RNA". It matches the Rfam family "Bacterial small subunit ribosomal RNA", at positions 524 to 776 of the family's 1533-position model. The record is from RNAcentral.